GCCCUCGUAGCUCAGGGGACAGAGCAAGGGAUUCCUAAUCCCUGUGCGGAGGUUCGAAUCCUCCCGAGGGCACCA
Molecule: transfer RNA, 75 nt
Filed under: Chloroflexota bacterium
Lineage: Bacteria; Bacillati; Chloroflexota
Description: Chloroflexi bacterium tRNA-Arg
Rfam family: tRNA
About the family: Transfer RNA (tRNA) molecules are approximately 80 nucleotides in length.
Source: RNAcentral